Molecule: long non-coding RNA, 4272 nt
Filed under: Homo sapiens (human)
Lineage: Eukaryota; Metazoa; Chordata; Mammalia; Primates; Hominidae
Description: HSALNT0308194
Source: RNAcentral
GUCAUCACGCCCGAGUAUUUGACAUUCGCAAUUAUCUGCAAAUACCCUGAUCAGUUUGUAUAUGAAACACUUUUUUUCCUGCCUUAAGGUUGGAAUCUGGUAAGUUUCAGACAAGUGGUUGCAGGGGGAGAUGACCCAGGGGACCGUGCGGGACAGGGCCGGUGAACCCGAUUCCGCGAGGCGGGCGUCUCGAAGGGACUGGUCUGCGUGCCUCACCGGGUUCCCCAGCCUGGCUCCGAGGAAAGGCCGCGCGGAGGCGAGAAAGGGCCCACAUCUCGAGUCUCCAGUCUCUCCUUGAAAAGAGCACCCCCUAAUCCCGGAGGAAGGGAGGGUGAAGGAGGAGGGGAGAGCCCACUACAGGCAAGGCAGGAAGGUUAAUCAUUUUGUUAACCGGAAAGGGUGCUGCCCCGCCUGGCCGUCGUCACCGAGCGUGUCAGUCACCCGCUCUCGAUUUCGCCGCAGAAUUACCUGCUCAAAGAGCCACCCCAAGAAGCCCUCAGCUCCGAGGUCUUCCCGCCCGUCGUCUGCGGGAAGUAAACGGCGUCCUCCCUCCAAAGAAGUGGAUGCCCCUUCGACUCUCCUCCGCCCCCCGGCGGUUCCUAAAUCUAGGAAAGCCAGCCCCGGCAUCGCUCACUACUCCUGCACCUCAGCUCUGGGAUACCCGCUCAGUACAGACAGACCAUCAACCAAAAAAGAAAAGAAGAAAAGAAAAGUGGUGGUGGGGGUGGGGGUGGGCAGGGAGCGUAAAGUAGCGAGAUCACUUAUUUGACUCUUCUGUUUUCUUAGGAACCUGAUCCUGGCCCCCGGCAGAGCAUAAGGGCCCGAGGCCAGGGACCUAGAGGCCGGACCAAGUUCGCGCGAGGUGUUCACAGCCUAGGCGCCCCGGGCUUGGCUUCGUACUCUGCAACAAGCCAAGCUCCCUUGCCACGAGUAUAUCAGCAACUUCAGAAAUAAACACCAGCGAAACCCCUUCCCACAUUAGCUUGUUGCUGUGCUACUGACACUGGGCUUAGUCGAUGUUCACACCUAUUACAUUUUUCCGGAAAGUGGGAGGAGCAGGGGGUAGAGAAAGCUGUGUGUAUUGAGGGAAGGGGAGAUGUGUGCAACACCUUCCAGAAAAAUGGGGAGGUAGUUUAGAAAGUUUUUCUCUGUAACAGCACAGCUUCUGAGAAGGCAGAGAGAAGAAAGCAGACAGGAAACGAAUCCCUUCCUCCUCUCCCCUUUACCCCCUUCCUUCACUCCCUAGACCAAGCUGGUCACCCGGCUGGGAAUCAAGAUUGUGUGGCUGGGAAGACACCAGUCUCUGUGCUCGGGUUCAGCCCAGUCGGGCAAGAAAGUCUGGGCAGCUGGAGAAGGUCGUCACAGUCUCCCGUGGAAUCUUGUUGCCUGAGAGCCCCAUAACGGAAAGGGCUAAGACGACUCUUCCACACACAGGUCGCAGCCCCUGCCGCGGAGGAUCCCCAGGAAGAUGCUGGGGACGCUCUGAGCAUCGGCCUUUCUUUACCCCCGACUCCCUGGAGCUUGGUCUCGGGAUGCCAACUUGGGGCACGGAGGCGACGGGCUGCUCCGAAGCUGGAGGGUUUCUGCUUGGGUCAGAGGGAUCACGACCUCAGCAGAGCCAGGAGAGGUUGGGUGACACCCACUGCGUAUUGCACUUGACUCAAAACUGCCCUCGGCCUGCGGAAGAGGCGAGGGCAAGAAGCCUGGUGGCGGGUCAAACCUUCACCCUAUUAUUUUCUAUCAUUUUUUAUGCCCAUAUAUUUGUUAAAUGUAUGGCUGCUAUACACCAACAGCUUAUUCUACAAGAAGUGCCCCCGAGGAGGAUUGGGUUAAGCUUUGCAAAUUUGGCUUCCCAGGUAAUGCGCUUCAUUAUUCUGCUCCCGACUUACCCACCACACCAGUGGGUACCCGGAGCAGCACCCACUUGGCAGAACUGAUGACUGCUUGGGCCCAGCGGAGUGCGCAUUGCGCUAACACGCGCACGGGAAUUGCACCCUUGCCGGAGCCUCCGCACCGUGCGCCCUUCAAAGAGCUGGCGACCCCGCUCACGUGUAAGCAACCUCCCACUUUGAAACUAAUUCGCACCCGGGUCUUUCACCCCAAAGGACUUUGCUGCGGACGCUGCUCUGACCCAAGACGCGGGAGAGAAGUCCCAAAGGCUACAGCCAGGGGCUGGGGGACUCCUCUGCUCACCUUAGUCCUUGAUUUCGAAGGCCCCAAUUAACUAUCUGUUGUGUCAGAAUCGGCGAGUGCAAAGUAGCUGCGCCCCGCUGACGCGCUCUCUCCUGGGUCCGGGUAUCCCAGGGCAUCCGGAGCUGGGGAGGGUUGUGCGGACUACCCAAGGCACGCGCAGAUACCGGGCAGGGAAGAAGGGCUCCGUGUUCCAAGGAUGGUCGUUUACCUCUCCUGAGAUCAGCCCUAAUCCCUUGGUAACUUAAGCGCCUCUGAACUCGGGGAGCGCUUGGUGGGGCGCCUCCCUGCAUCCACCCCUACCCCUGGCUCCUUCCCAGGCCCAGCAUCUUUCCCACCAUUCUCACCCCCACCACCCCCACGGCCCCGCCCGUUUAGAGGCGUGCGGUGGGCACUUGGUUUACAGAACCGGCGUUUCAGAUGUUUAUUUGCAACUAAUUUCUUGUGCUGGAAAAUGCUUGUUACCCGGGCGGAGCGCUUCCGCUCUGCGCGGUCCGGCCCGGCGGGCGGUAGCUCGCUGAUCCCUCCGGCGAAGCCUCCAAGGAGCGGGCGGCUGGGAGAGGUUGUGCCACCCGGGACCAAGCCAUCGGCGCUGCUCCGGACUCCCGGUAGGGGGAGCCGCCGCGGGCGCCAGGCCGGAUUGUGUUCUGGCCUCGGGGCGGCCCUGCUGCCAGCGGCCGGGACUCUCAGCACAGAGCUCGGGAGGACUCCACCUGCUCUCCAGAUAAGGCGCCAUGAGCAGAGAAGGGAACAGACGGCCAAGCUCCCUCCUAAUUCCCCGUUGUUGCAGAGCAAAGAAGAUGGGGGAGAACUAAUUAUAUUCUCUAGGUCUAAAUAUUGUUGAAAAAUUUGUAGGUGAGAUCACCUCCUUUGCCCAUAUCCAUAUAUAAUAUAUCCAUUACAUGUGUUUGCCCAUAUAUAUACGUAUGCCAUAUGUAAAUAUGUACGAGUGUGUAUGUAUGUGUAUAGCAGUGGUUUAGAAUUAGUCUCAGUUCCACAAAUUUUGAGCCCUUUUAAUAUUUUAGGUGACCUAAUACCUUCUCACUGUAUUUUCCAAGUCACUUAUUUCCAAGAGUUUUAGGUGAUCCCAGCAUAGGAGCUGAGCAUAGGAGCUCAGAUGAGACUUGCCAGUUUUGCUGCAGUAAUGUCAGCAAAAGAGUCUCUCUCUUUCUGACUCUAUAGACUUAAGUAAGGGUUUACAGGCUUUCAUUUUAAGGUAUGACUGAUAUUUAGAGAACAAGACUAAACCAAGGUCAAGGGGAAAACAGUUAGACUGUGAACCUGCAGACCACUCCACUGCACCCAGUGUGGCCGUACACCUGUGCUGAACGGCCAGAGACUUCCUGGUCAAUACUCCCACAGAUAAAAGACUGCAGGAUCUGCUUAUACACAAAUCCAUCUUUCGCUGGGAACCCACAACUCAUAACAACUCUCCUAAUGCCAAGUCAUCAAGGCCUCUUGAAAGAGAAUCAUAAAAAACAAAGAAUUUCAAACUUGGAAGGAAACCUAAAGUUUACUGGUGAGGAGCUUGAACUGAGUAGAAGCAAAGAAUCAUACUCCAGAUGAGAAACGCCCCAUGCACUGAGCUGAGACUGGAACUCUCCUCUUCUUACUCUCAGUCCAACAACAUCACUCAAACAACCCUAUUACUUCAGUAGCAAUGAACUGUCUCUGGAUUUUAUUAAGCAUCUCACUAGUUCCUUUUCUUCAGCUGUAUGGCACCCUGUCUUCCUGUACACCAGAGGCUCCUCAGCUGGGUAAGGUGAGCCAACGUUACCAGGAGUAUAUGCUGAGAGGCCAUUUCAAAGUCUUUCAUAGAAGGCUGUGCUUGGGCAAGUAGAACUUUUCAUCAUACAGUCCCAGAGAUGUGAAGUUAUCAAGGUCAGAGAAGAGGAAAAGAGACUCAGAGAAACUGUGUUCUCUAGUCUUUCAUUCGGGAACAAAUGGUGUCGUACCAAAUGGCUGAAAAGAUCCCAGGCUUACUCUGAGAAACAUCUCUCUCUUCUGAAUUAAACUUGCACAGUGGCUAACAGUGUUUUGUUUGGUGUUGACAAAGUAAUAAAACGUUACCGUUUCUCUUUC